GAGAAAGUUCCCUUCGGGGGAUGAGUAAAGUGGCCCUUGGGUGAGUAACGCGUAGGCAACCUGCCCUCGAAUUUGGGAUAACCUUUCGAAAGAAGGGCUAAUACCGGAUAAGACCACGAGCUAACUGGGGUUCGUGGCCAAAGGUGCCGCAAGGUAUCGGUCGAGGAUGGGCCUGCGUGCUAUUAGCUUGUUGGUGAGGUAACGGCUCACCAAGGCUGAGAUGGCUAACUGAUCUGAGAGGAUGAUCAGUCACACUGGAACUGAGACACGGUCCAGACUCCUACGGGAGGCAGCAGUGGGGAAUUUUGCGCAAUGGGGGAAACCCUGACGCAGCAACGCCGCGUGAGCGAUGAAGGCCCUCGGGUCGUAAAGCUCUGUCAGGUGGGACGAAACGCUCCGGGUAAAUAAUCCGGAGAACUGACGGUACCACCAGAGGAAGCACCGGCUAACUCUGUGCCAGCAGCCGCGGUAAGACAGAGGGUGCAAGCGUUGUUCGGAAUUACUGGGCGUAAAGGGCGUGUAGGCGGUAUGGCAUGUCAGAUGUGAAAGCCCCCGGCUCAACCAGGGAAGUGCAUUUGAAACUGCCGUGCUGGAGUGCGAGAGAGGAGGGUGGAAUUCCCAGUGUAGAGGUGAAAUUCGUAGAUAUUGGGAGGAACACCGGUGGCGAAGGCGGCCCUCUGGCUCGCAACUGACGCUG
This 697-nucleotide ribosomal RNA is filed under the name uncultured bacterium. Its description in RNAcentral is "bacterial SSU rRNA". It matches the Rfam family "Bacterial small subunit ribosomal RNA", at positions 68 to 748 of the family's 1533-position model. The record is from RNAcentral.